GCGGCAGGCCUAACACAUGCAAGUCGAACGCUGCAGCAAUGCAGAGUGGCAGACGGGUGAGUAACGCGUGGGAACCUUCCCAGUGGUACGGAAUAGCCCAGGGAAACUUGGGGUAAUACCGUAUAAGCCCCUAGGGGGAAAGAUUUAUCGCCAUUGGAUGGGCCCGCGUCGGAUUAGCUAGUUGGUGAGGUAACGGCUCACCAAGGCGACGAUCCGUAGCUGGUUUGAGAGAAUGACCAGCCACACUGGGACUGAGACACGGCCCAGACUCCUACGGGAGGCAGCAGUGGGGAAUCUUGGACAAUGGGCGAAAGCCUGAUCCAGCCAUGCCGCGUGAGUGAUGAAGGCCCUAGGGUUGUAAAGCUCUUUCGCCAGGGACGAUAAUGACGGUACCUGGAUAAGAAGCCCCGGCUAACUUCGUGCCA
RNAcentral lists this ribosomal RNA (425 nucleotides) under uncultured Pseudomonadota bacterium. RNAcentral's name for it is "bacterial SSU rRNA". It matches the Rfam family "Bacterial small subunit ribosomal RNA", at positions 39 to 510 of the family's 1533-position model. The record is from RNAcentral. Lineage: Bacteria; Pseudomonadati; Pseudomonadota.